This is a small nucleolar RNA of Otolemur garnettii (small-eared galago), 146 nucleotides long. The record is from Ensembl. NCBI's taxonomy places the organism in Eukaryota, Metazoa, Chordata, Mammalia, Primates, Galagidae.
UGGCCCUGAUAUAAGUGGUGUGUCCUUGUCCUAGGUAAUCGGCUGGUGGUCCUGUCUCAUCUCAGCCAGAGUCAAAGCAACCCCCUAUUUAUGCCAGCUUGGCUUUUAGUCUGUGCCCAUGCCUGGUUCAUACCUUGGACACAUGG